AAUCCACAUGUCCAGGCUACCUCAUCACGCGUUCUGCACCGUGUGCAAGACAGACAUCGAUAUCAGUCACGAAGGGACAACAGGUAACGAACACAGUGUCAUAAACAAUUA
Long non-coding RNA from Sander lucioperca (pikeperch), 111 nucleotides. RefSeq lists it as uncharacterized. The record is from RefSeq and is a predicted model, not a curated record. The transcript is spliced from 3 exons. NCBI's taxonomy places the organism in Eukaryota, Metazoa, Chordata, Actinopteri, Perciformes, Percidae.